UUUUUUGAGUCAAUAAUUUUAUUACUAUUAUUUUUCACACCGAGGAGACUUAGUUACAUAAAGUGAUAUUCUAUGAGUUGAUUACCAGCAGGAGAAGCACAAAGGUGUGGAAAGCAUAACAGGAACACAGUGAGGAAACGCCCUUUGUCAAGUGGAGUCCAUGUGACAGAACACAUUACUGCAAACAGCCUAUGUACAAAUAAAUAUAGCUUUCCGUCUAUGUACAGACAUAUUCACAGAGAAUAAACUGACGCGAAAUCUCCAUACAUCUGUCAUCCAGUGAAAAUUGCACGUAAUAAACAAAACACACAGAAAAUGACAAAAAUAAUUCAGAAGUGCAUCAGCUGGAGUCUUGCUGGGGGUAAAGAGAAGGGUUAAAAUGCUUCUUUAAAAUGGAGGCAAACAAAGGAAGAGCGAGAUGACAUCUAUCCCUAAAAAGAUCCUUUACAAAAAUGGCAUUCUGAUAUUGUUAAUAUAAUCUCUCCAAAAAAGAGUUUAUGUGUUCUAGGGCAAAAGUCUUUGUUGGGGUCAGUGGUGACCACAUUUUCUCUGUUUUACCAAUAUGCAAAGAACAAAAGUAUAAUUUAUCUUUCCUCUAGUGCUAGUGGCAACUUAAUUAAUCCAGGAAGGUAGCUUUGCUACUCCAAUUUUUGAUGGCUCCAUGAGACUGCAGAUUGUUUGGAGAUAAAAGCUCUUGCUUCUGGAACUUUCUCAGACUCGAGCAGAAGACACACUUGAGAUAGGUGCAGGGCACAAAUAUGGACUUUAUGUGCAGAGUUCAGCAGGGCUGUAUGUCAACAGAGGCUCCCUCUUCUGGAUAGAGUCUCUGCCCUUUGGAGAAACUCUUCGGACCACAAAACAGUCCCCAACAAGAACGUCACUGGCUCUGGGCCUAGACACUCUGACUUAGGGUAAAUGGCCAUUUAAGCAUCAAAUUGGUGGGGUUGUUCAAUUUAAUAACCACGUUUACUCCAUGUUGAGAAUUUAGAGGUCCAGUUGUGGUGAAUAUUUCUAGGCUCUUAAGUGCUUUUUGGUUAUUCUUUUAGCUUUCCCUCAAAUUACAUAGAAAAUUAUGAUAAAUGGAAAUAUUAAAGUUUCUAGUUGUGGGGACGUCUGUGUAUAGGUAAGUAGUCUACCACACUGGUCAGAACAUGUGUAUUUUAGCAGAAAGGAAAUGCGUUAUGAUGUCUGUUAUUUGCCGUGUCCUCCCAAGGAAGGUUUAUAUUUCAGCACAGGAAAUUAUUGACAAAUUGUAUAUCUAUGUUUGCCAUUUUUAUAAGGGAACUUCUUAGGCCCAUCCCACAUUUAUAUAUAUAAAAACUCAAACAAACCUUAUGUUUCCCAGGUAUGUAUUUACCUAAUUAUCCAUUUCACUCUCUGUAUAGGUGAACCUUGCUUUACAUAACAAAUGGAUUCCUGAAAAACAGUAGAUCUAUAAUUUAGACUUUCAAUAUAGUAUCAGAACUUGCUGUUUCAAGAAACUAUGUCACAAGCUACUUUGAAGAUGAAGAAUGCUUUUGUGAAAUGAAUAAUUUCUUUCAUUUGCAGAGUUUUAUUAAAGUACACAUUUAAAAUUUAUCAGGUUAGGAUUGUCUAGAACAAUAAUUGUAUGCAAUAAAAAACAGAACAGAUAAACUCCAAUUUACAAUAAACAAUACAAAACAGGAAUGACUCAUGACUGCUUAUUGAUUGACUAUAUUCAGAAGCCCUGAAUAUAUGUAUUAUUGGUAUUUUAUGGCUUUAAUUAAGACAAUUGUCUCUUAUGAAGUACUAUAAAGUGCAAUAUUAAAAAAUUAAAAACCCAAAAGGCAUCCAUUGUCCUUCAGUUUUAUCCUGAUGAGAAGAAUUGGAGAAUCAUUUAAUUAAAUGGCAAGGAAUUAUCUAUCCAUACUGCAUGCAUGUAAUUUGAUCCUUAAAAUUAUUUAAUUCAGGGAUUCAGACUUAACUCAUUCCUUUGUGUGUGUGUGUGUGUGUGUGACAUGAUUUUAAAAAUUAGCAUUCUCUUUCAGGUAAUUCACUGUUUAAGAGAACUGUCAGUCCCAAGGCCUUUGUUACUUACGGAUCCAUUAUAAAGGAACAUGCAGCCCAAUACGUGAGAAUGCAGAACCAAAUUCCUGUGCUUUUGCUGAACUGUAGCCCACUUUCCUGGGCCAGGACCCAAUCUACAGCCACACAAUUCCUAUCCAACCUAGUACCCAAGGAAGGAAAUACACUACAAUACUGGGUGAUAAGAGGAGGACCAACAUUUCCCCUAUUUCCUAUGUAAGUGAAAGCAUGAAUUCCUUUUGGUAUAUCAAAGCAAGUAGAGUUUCUGAAUGAUCUCCAGUGGUGUCUCCCCCACUCUGAGUUCUUUGUGAGCGUGGAAUUAUGACAGUAAAAAUGAAGCCCAUGAACUUGACUUCACCAGGCCUCAUGAUUAUGCCACACCCUGUGUUCAAACUUUUCACCCCUGGAUAAACGCCUGUUAGUGCUGUUGCACCAAGGCCUACUGGUGCUCUAAACUCUAAAGGUAUUUCUGUGACUCUACUCUUUUAUGAAUGUGAACUCUGUUCACAUUGCAGUAGCAAUCAGGAGGGAUUUUUUCCCCCUGAGAAACUGCCAAAGACAUGAAACAGAAAUUUUUGGGAGGAGGGGCCCAGUGUUUUUGAAUAUUCACAUUAAUGAAGUGGUGGACAAAUGCUCAGUAGACUGGCCAAGAGCAAGCAGAAUCUGGAAAGGGAGAAAGCUCUGAGUCCAACCUGGACUUGAAAACUGGAAGCGGCCCUAGAAAUAAACAGAUGGAGACUCAAAGAGGCCAAGUGGAGAGUGGCUCAUAGUAGGCAAAAUGGUGAAUCAAAUGCACUGGGGCAGGCCGAGAGGUGCACCCGCUUUAGCUAAAUGUCUCGGAGAAGAGAUCAGAAGUGAUAGGGUACAGAAGAUGAAUGUGAAUUAGCAAUGUAGUGUGACUUUGUAAAAGUAAGAGCAACAGAGAAGUUCAGCAAAAGGGAGCAAAGCAAUAGGUUUGAGACUGUAAUUCAGCCCUGUUCAGACUGACCUGUGUCAUGAUGAGUCAUAGGGUUCUAUAAUUUAGGAGUAACAUAAAGCAGGUAAAAACGCUGAGUAGAGAAGAACUGGAAGAAUUAAGAGGGUUAGGAAAAAAGGACUCUGAAAUAAAGCUCUAAAGAUACUUUUGAUGAAAACAGAUAAAGGGUCACAUAGUGGGGACUCCCAAUGAUGUGAGAGGCACAUAGUGAAGAGUGCCCAGACCCAGUUCUUUUCCAUCCCCCAAAAAGACACAGGUGAAGUCACCAACUUGUUGGGCUAGGGUAAACCUGCUGGUUGUUAAUACUUGAUGAAACCUGGUUCCAUCAGGAACCCCUAUGCCAGGACCCCUCACCUACAAAAGAACUGUCCUUUUGAUUAGGGUGAUAGGUUGGACGACCUGUCUCAACAGAAUUAAACCUUUGGCAAACUCAACACAAAUUCUAUGGCACCCUUUCAGACUUGGGUAUUCAUCUGUUUUUGUUUUUUUGUUUUUUUUUUUUGUUUUUAAUUCUUUCAGGUUUUCCAGUCUAGCAAUCAAUCAUCUAGUGAAAGUGCUCUGGCAUAAUUUGGGGAUCCAUGCAGUGCCCCUUCUACAACUAAUUUGAACAGAGUUUUCUCUCCAGCAGUAAUUACAAGGUCAUUUUUGUCUCUAAAAGAACUGGCCGACUUGUGGAUCCACUUAUCAUUUUUAGCUCUCUCUUGCUGUUUUUAAAGGAAACUUUCGCCAGACAGAUGAAAGACCACUGUGGAAUGCAAGUGGUUCUGAGCAAGGCUGGUCCCCCAGGGGUGCGGAAAGCCUGGAAAGUGGCAGCGCAGACAGUGUUUGGAGGCGGGUGUCUGGGUGGAAAGAUGUGCUACUUUCCAUCCUGAACAUGAGCGCUCCUCUGCUUUCUACAGAUGCCUACGUUCUCCUGGCGGUCAGAGGCCGGUCAUAGGCCGUAACCUGAGCAGUUUCAAAGCUCCCAGUGAAGUGAAACAACAACAACAACAACAACAACAACAACAACAACAACAACAACGUUGUGAUGUUGUAACCAUAAGAAAUGGAGUGGUGCGCGUGUCCUUUAUUGCUUUUCUCGUUUGCUACAUAGUUCAAAGAAUAUGAAGCUGUGAGAUGAACAAAGAUAUGCCAAGAGACAGGGAGGAGCUAAGCUGAAGUAGUGGGCUGGGGGCACAUUACCUUUCCUUCCCAAAGCCUUCUAGAGAGGGGAAGAUAUUUUUAUCUGGGACCCUAUGCAGGUUCUUAUAAUUGGUUGGAAAAGCCUGAAAUUUGUCAUUGUUUUAAACUACAUGGGGAUAUGUAUCAAUGUGACACUUGGUUUCUUGGGACUCAAAGUGAAUAAAUUUUUUUUCUUCCUUUUCCUUAUGCUUCAUUUUCCCCCCCACUAAUUCUCUUUUAAUGGCCAAGCCCUUACUACUUAAAGACAAUAUUGCGGAGGAUGUGGCUUUUAAAAAUACUAAGCCACGUGGUUAUGUGAGAUCUGGCUUAGCAAGAAUGAGCAUUAAGCUUCUAUGUCAAGCCUUCAGGAGUUAGAUGAUUUCCCCAGAAAUCACCCUGAGGACGGUUUCCCUUUAUUUCUUCUGGAAUUGAGCUGCCACUUCUAAUAUGGCCACUUAAUUACUGUAGUACCAAUCUGUCCUGUGCGAGGAAGCAUGGCAUCCUCAUCAUCUGUGUGUGUGUGUUGGCAG
This 4713-nucleotide long non-coding RNA is filed under the name Canis lupus familiaris (dog). RNAcentral's name for it is "lncRNA (ENSCAFG00845014611.1)". The record is from RNAcentral. Lineage: Eukaryota; Metazoa; Chordata; Mammalia; Carnivora; Canidae.